This 612-nucleotide ribosomal RNA is filed under the name Trichoderma harzianum. Its description in RNAcentral is "eukaryotic LSU rRNA". The stretch from base 223 to 376 matches the Rfam family "5.8S ribosomal RNA". Lineage: Eukaryota; Fungi; Ascomycota; Sordariomycetes; Hypocreales; Hypocreaceae. The record is from RNAcentral.
UGCUGACGCGGAGGGACUUACCGAGUUUACAACUCCCAAACCCAAUGUGAACGUUACCAAACUGUUGCCUCGGCGGGAUCUCUGCCCCGGGUGCGUCGCAGCCCCGGACCAAGGCGCCCGCCGGAGGACCAACCAAAACUCUUAUUGUAUACCCCCUCGCGGGUUUUUUUUAUAAUCUGAGCCUUCUCGGCGCCUCUCGUAGGCGUUUCGAAAAUGAAUCAAAACUUUCAACAACGGAUCUCUUGGUUCUGGCAUCGAUGAAGAACGCAGCGAAAUGCGAUAAGUAAUGUGAAUUGCAGAAUUCAGUGAAUCAUCGAAUCUUUGAACGCACAUUGCGCCCGCCAGUAUUCUGGCGGGCAUGCCUGUCCGAGCGUCAUUUCAACCCUCGAACCCCUCCGGGGGGUCGGCGUUGGGGAUCGGCCCUGCCUUGGCGGUGGCCGUCUCCGAAAUACAGUGGCGGUCUCGCCGCAGCCUCUCCUGCGCAGUAGUUUGCACACUCGCAUCGGGAGCGCGGCGCGUCCACAGCCGUUAAACACCCAACUUCUGAAAUGUUGACCUCGGAUCAGGUAGGAAUACCCGCUGAACUUAAGCAUAUCAUAAAGCCGGAAGGAA